UGAACGAAAGCCAAAACAGAGGCGUCUAACUGUUAAUUAGAAGAUUGUAAAAAUUUUACUCAUUCAG
Molecule: transfer RNA, 67 nt
Filed under: Littorina obtusata
Lineage: Eukaryota; Metazoa; Mollusca; Gastropoda; Littorinimorpha; Littorinidae
Description: tRNA-Asn
Source: RNAcentral